AGUUGAUCAUGGCUCAGGAUGAACGCUAGCGGCAGGCUAACACAUGCAAGUCGAGGGGCAGCGCGGGGUAGCAAUACCCUGGCGGCGACCGGCGCACGGGUGCGUAACGCGUAUGCAACCUGCCCGUAACAGGGGGUAUAACGGGGAGAAAUCCCCACUAAUCCCCCAUAUUGUCCUGAUGCCGCAUGGCGUUAGGACGAAAGCCUUGGUGGUUACGGACGGGCAUGCGUGACAUUAGGUAGUUGGCGGGGCAACGGCCCACCAAGCCGACGAUGUCUAGGGGAGCUGAGAGGCAGGACCCCCCACACUGGUACUGAGACACGGACCAGACUCCUACGGGAGGCAGCAGUGAGGAAUAUUGGUCAAUGGGCGGAAGCCUGAACCAGCCAUGCCGCGUGGAGGAAGACGGGCCCCUAUGGGGUUGUAAACUCCUUUUGCCGCAGAGUAAUAAGGGCCGUGCGCGGCCUGAUGAGAGUAUGCGGCGAAUAAGCAUCGGCUAACUCCGUGCCAGCCGCAGC
Molecule: ribosomal RNA, 518 nt
Filed under: uncultured bacterium
Lineage: Bacteria
Description: bacterial SSU rRNA
Rfam family: Bacterial small subunit ribosomal RNA
Source: RNAcentral